RNAcentral lists this long non-coding RNA (8402 nucleotides) under Sorghum bicolor (sorghum). RNAcentral's name for it is "long non-coding RNA (SBIC_LNC004766)". The record is from RNAcentral. Lineage: Eukaryota; Viridiplantae; Streptophyta; Magnoliopsida; Poales; Poaceae.
UGCGCUUGCAGAUCCCAUUCAUUAUUUAUUUAGAAGAGCAAUUGCAUAUUUCAAUACCGCGUCUCUCAUGUCAUGCUGGGGAUGACAACUUGGCUUAAGUGGUGUGAGGGAUAGGUUUGGCAUUUUUGGCACCGUUGCUAGAUUUAGAACUUAGUCUACUUUUGGUAAUGAUGUUAAGAAUACCCAACAAGCAUUUUUGGCGCCGUUGCCGGGGAAGGUUGAUUACCAAUCAGGAAUGGAAUAAAAGAUUUUGAGUUAUCAUUCGCAUCACUAAUAUGAUUGAGCUUAUCUAUUCUCUCAUACAGUUUUACCCCGAUAUUUUUCUAUUUUAUCUUAUGCAGGGGAAUGUAUGAAUAGAAGACAUCUUCCAGGAAAUUUUGUUGAUAAUCCUGAAGCAUUAUUCAAGAAGACGAGGGCCAAGCUAAAGAAAUCAUCAACACUUCACGAAGAAGCUUCAUCCAAUCAAGAAGAUCACCGGAACUUGUCUUCAGAGUUCGAAGCCAUGGCAAACAAAUCGAUCCGCGAGUUCUCAGCUCCCACUACGGACAACAUCCACACUGGACCUGCUGCAGAGAUCGAUGGCAACUUUGAGCUCAAGCCUGGACUUAUCAACAUGGUGCAAUCCAACCAGUUCUGUGGGAAGGCACACGAAGAUGCUAGUGCUCAUUUACAACACUUCCUGGAGAUUUGCAACACAUUCACCAUAGCAGGAGUUUCCAAAGACGCUAUACUACUUCGCCUCUUCCCAUUCUCACUGUUAGGAAGAGCGAAGCAGUGGUUCUACGCUACAAAGGAGAAGAAUACUACGUGGGCACUCUGCUCAACAAACUUCCUGGCAAAGUUCUUUCCCAUGGGCAAGACCAAUGCUCUCUGUGGGAAGAUUACAAGUUUUCAGCAACAAAAUGAUGAAUCUGUUCCAGAAGCAUGGGAGCGCUUUCAAGACUACAUCCUAGAAUGUCCCCAUCAUGGAAUGGAGAGUUGGCUAUUGAUGCAGACAUUCUAUCAUGGGCUCAGCAACAGUGCCCGAGAGACCAUGGAUGCUGCAGCUGGAGGAGCAUUCUUAUCACUUACUAUACCACAAGCCACAGCUCUUGUGGAGAAGAUGGCGUCCAAUCAAAGCUGGAAUGAAGAGAGGACCCAGACACGCAAGAGAGGUGGACGUAUGCAUCAGCUGAAGGAGGUAGACAUGCUGUCUGCAAAGCUAGACCUGCUCAUGAAGAAGCUCGAUGAUAAAGCUGGAGACAAGAAAGAAGUUAUGCACAUCUACGACUCUCACAUGACUUGUGAGGAGUGUGGAGACACUGGACACUCAGGCAACCACUGCCCUGAGAUGCUUGAGGAUGUGAACUACAUCAACAACAACAACUACUACAACCGUCCUCAACAAAAUCAAGGUUGGAAUCAACAGAGGCCUAACUACUCAGGUAAUUAUCAAGGUAACAAUUCUUACAACAAUAAUAAUAAUUUUCCACCUUUGAGAGAGUUAGUGUCUAAUCAAGGAAAGCUAAUGGAUAACCUAUCUAAGAAAUUGGCAUCUAAUGAUAAAAUGCUAGAAAAUAUAAAUAAUAGAAUGGAUAAUUUUUCUACUGCCAUCAAGAAUCAAAUUAGCUUUGAUAAAAUGAUUGAAUCUCAGUUAAAUCAGAUAGCUGCUGCUGUUCCUACUACUAACCCCGGUAUACCAUCACAAUCGGAAGGAUUAGAAUCUGCAAAUCUUGUAGACGUGUUUGAUGCAGGUAAUUGGAGUAACCCCGUCAAUGAAUUUUCUACUGACCGUCUGCCGGUCAAGAGAGGCGAUCCAGGACGCCCCGUCAUCCCGAUCUCCAUCGGCAUGGUGGACUUCCCAGAAGCACUCUGCGACUUUGGCUCCAGUGUCAACAUUAUACCCAGGGUACUCUAUGAGAAAUUCUUUACAUAUCCUUUAUUAGAGACAACCAUGUGUUUGCAGUUUGCAGAUCAGACGAUAACUUUUCCAAAAGGAAUAGUGAGGAACCUUUGUGUCCGAGUUGGUACCUUGUAUGCACCAGCAGACUUCGUAGUGGUAGAGACCGGAAAUGAUGAGAGAGCACCUAUCAUCCUAGGGAGGCCAUUUUUGAACACCACGGGAGCUAUCAUCUACGCCAGUGCUGCUAAGAUCAGUUUCUACGUCAAAGGGAAGAAGGAAACAUUUUUCUUCAAAAACAAGACUACACAAAUUCCAAAUCAAUCCAGACGUCAAUCAAGGAAGAGGACCAACAGGAGGAACAGGAACAAGCAAGUGUGGACCGAGUCAGCUCAGAUGGUCACUGUAGUCCAUGGAGGCCAAGAUCACCAACUUAAGUCACCGUGCUUGACCAAGAAGGACGACCCAGGAAUGCCAAGCAUUUACUGCUCCAUAAAUGGAUACAACUUCUACAAGACAAUUUGUGACACCGGAUCGGGCGUCAACAUAAUGGUCGCAGUCACCUAUCGGCUCUUGUUCGGGACCAUGCCACUAAGACCAACAUACAUUCAGCUCCAGAUGGCAGAUCAGACAUUUCGAGAAGUUCAAGGAAUAGUAUUUGAUGUCCCAGUCAAAAUAGACGAUCAUUUUGUCUACACAGACUUUCAAGUUGUUGACAUGGGAGAAGACGAGUAUGAUCCACCCAACAUCCUUGGAAGACCGUUCCUCAGCACCGUUAAAGUCAUUAUCUACAUUGGAACCGGAGAAGUCCAUAUGCACUUCCCCUCAGAGAAGGUACGCUGUUAUUUUACUGACCCUAACUAUAUCAUUGAAGAAUCUAAGCAGGUAAGAAAACGACGCAACCGCAACCAGAGGAGGCAGAUCAUUAAGGACGGAUGGGCAGACUAUGAAGGAGAAGUUGUAAGGUCAGAAGACGUAGAGUUUAAACAGAAUUAUCCAGAGGAGAUUGAAGCACCGAGUCAGGUGUGGAAAAUGAAAAUAACUAUACAAGAAGAGGAGGCGCUGCCGGAAGUACCGACUACGCUACCCAACGAACCUCAGGACGAUUAAGAAAUUGGAGAGUCCCGUUCGGAGGACUUAAAAACACCGAACGCCUUGCCAAGAGGUAAACUUGGUAGUUACCCUUUCCCUUUCAGUUAUUUUAAAUAGUUUACUUAGUUAAACAUGCUCAUACUGUCUUAAAAAGAAAAUAAAAAUGUGAAAAAUAGUAAGCCCCAUGUGAAUAGACGAGUGGCAUAAAACCCAUACGUACAUUCAAUGUGGUGGCAUAAAAAUAAAAUAAAUAUUUUUCUGCUUUAUAAAAUAAAAAUAUAAAAACAGGGAGUAAAAAUUAUUAAGGAGUCUCAAGAUGAUAAAGGCUAGAUAUUUAUGCUAACACUUAAUCAGUUCCACAAGCUUUGUUGUCUAUUUGAGCUCCACAGAAUUUAAGAAUCAAGAAGACUAGCAGACGGAGGACAUUCUAAUCGCUGUCAGAAUGCUGCUUUCAAAUACACCUCUGCCACCUGCUAGCUACAUCAAGAGAAAUUACGUCAAAAUUCAGCUUGGGGGAGAGCACCCCCAUUUAUCUCGAUAAGUAUUUCUAUCUAUCUAUCUUUAUAUUUAUAUUAUUUUAGAAUAUUAAUACACAUAAACUAUGGAAAACCAAAUAAAGAUUUUAUGCUUAUAUAUAUUACUCAGUGUGUUUAAUUAAUAAAUAAAGUGGCUAUGCUAAUCUGUAUCUAAUAAAACUUAAGCAUGGAUAUGAUGAAUAGUUGCUCUGCCUAAUUUGCACAUUUUAAGUUCUCUCUCAAGUUUAGACAUAACUGUUAUAAUUUAAAGCUUGCCCUAGACCUAAACUUGUGGGAUGAAAACUUGAUCUGAAGUCUAAGUUGUUAACGGAUACGAUAUAGGAAGGUUGAGCUGCUGUUUAUCUGUUCCUAGAGAUGCUAGAAUUCUGGAGAAUUUAUCUUUGAAAAUCAUUAAAAUGUUGCAUGAUGAGUUCCUGUAUGAUGAGAGCUUAAAUUCCUACCACAGCCAUAUAUACAUGCUUGCUAGACUUUGAGCCACACAUUUACUAUUUACUGCUUAUGAGCAUUGAGUAUGGUCAAGCUGUGUAGACCCUUAGGAGCUUGUCAUGUGGUUAAAUCAAGAUUUCACUUGCACGUUCACUCAUAUAUGCUACUUCUACUCCGGAAGUACCAUCCACAUACAUCCACUCAUUUCCAUCUCCAGAACCACCUAAAAAUAUUCUACUCCUAAUCCGGGAGAGAAUAACCAAAAAUAUUUCUGUUUUCCCCUUGUGAAAUAAAUGCUCAAGUUAUCUUGUUACUACCACUUGCUAUAUUAUCUCAAGAGAUGAAUGCUCUAAAAAAAGAGAGAGAGAGAAGAAUAAUACGAGGAAAUAAAAAGGAGCAAGUGCUCGGAACCUCGAAAGAAAAGAAAAAGUGAGACGAGAGGUAAAAAUGGACAAGUGUCCGACAGUAGAAUUAGGGGUGCAAGAUACCCACCUGAGAGAAAAGAAAAAGAAGAGCAUCUCAUUCUCCUCAUAAAGUUUCAAAAGCAAGGAAGGUAUGUAUCCCCUCAGAAGAGCAAAGUAGAAUUAGACUUUCACCACCAUUGUUUUCACCAUUGUUAUCACCAUCAUCACCAUAUACCAUUCAUUCGCCACACAUGCACAUCUUGAUUAAACUUAUUGACUUGUUACUUUGGAUCCAUGGUUUGACUAUGCAAUACAUGUCUUGUAAGUAUGUAUAUUUUAUCUCCCACCUAUGAGCUCCAGAUAUUAAAGCCUUAUUGGAGUAGGAUGAGAGAGAAGGCAAUGUUACUAUGCCUCAUACCACAAAUACCACAUAUCUUGAGAGAAGGCAUAUACCAUCAAUGCCUUGGUAAGAUCCAAAAAUACCACAAAAGAGAGACCUGAGAGAAUCAUACAAGGAAUUCUGAGUUUUAUUUGAAAAUCUGCAAAAAUCCCAGAGCUAUAGCUGAUCAAGAAUAAGAGACAUGGCACUUGGCUAGACUGUUCUAUCUUUUAACCACUCAAGACAGAAGUGACAGUUACAAGUCCCAUGGUGAAGGUAAAGUAAUUAAGUUUUAAGUCUUGACAGUUUACUCUAACUCAGAGAUAAGAUCUUAUUUAAGAGCAUGUGUACCGUCAAAUUUUUAAAGAUAUUGCAGCAACUUCUGAUCCAUAGCUGAGUCUAUCCUUGCUCAGGGACGAGCAAGAGGUAAGCUUGGGGGAGUUUGUUGACGGUCCUUAAGUAUCAAAUUUAAUUAUCAAAUAAAUAAAGAAAAGGAUCCAAAUGAAAUAAAGAUCUAGACUUAGGGUUUUAUCUGACAGAAUUCCACGAGUUUUGGUGUUUGUCUAUUUCUGCAGGGGGUUAUCUGGAAAUAUGGAAGAAAGGCCCACAUGUCAGGAUUACGUAAAGAUAUUAACGUGCUGCGCAAUUAUCUUACAUCUAGAAGACUCCAGAAGCCACGAGACCGAAGCGGAGGCGAAUCGGGGCCAGAGACAGGGCGCCCGCCCUGUCCAACUGGGCGCCCGCCCUGCCCCUAAGUCCAAUCAGGACUCUGCUUUGCGGAAAGUCUCCACCGACCUAAAGGAUGAAUCUAAACCAUACAAUCUAUGUCGGUUUGAUCCAAGGGCCCAUAUUCACUUGAAGGGACUAUAAAACGAGACCCCCUGGCCCCUGGAGGAGAGAGCCUCUCAACCCUAAUUCAUUGUUCCAUCAAGGGAGAAGAAGCCUCUGAUCAAGAUUAGAGCCACCACAUCAAUUAGAUAUCUAGAUUAGCAUAGCUACAUAGGAUUAGAACUAGAAGGAGUCAAUCUUCGAUUGGUUUCCGGAUCUGUCAGGAGGAUUCUUGGUAAUUCUCUAAUUGUGCUUCUAAUUGCUUUCUAAUUAUCUUUGUUCUUCAAUAUUAUGAAUAUGACUUUGUUCUACUUCAAUAUAUUGCUUAUGACUUUGCUCUAUUUGCUUAUAUUCAAGAUUAUAUUGUUCUUAGUUUAUCAUAGUUAUGUACUUGGCUUAGUUAGAUACGAUCUAUAUAUGCUUAGGAUCGUAUAGCGUUUAUCCAUCGGAUCCAUGGGUAAAUGAUAGAUAUUGUGUAGGCGUGGUGCUUAUACCGUAUUUAUCUGCGAUUGUACCCAAUAUGCCAGAUCGUGGGGUAGUUCGUGAUAGUGACAGCUUCAUUGAUUCUUAUAUAGUCCCCCUCUCGUGUAUUGGGCUGGCAGAGCAACAUUAUUACAGGGGAGUGAUUGCUAUGUUUCUCAUAUUCCUUGCUAAUAUCACUAUGCAUGGGCGUAGUCUUGUCUCGCAAUGAUUGCUAAGUAUGCUUGCACUAACUAUGAUAUGCUAGACUAUAUAGUUAAGAAUAACUUAGGGAAUAUUCAUGUAGUUCGUUCUAAUACCAUGCUAAUGACAUUCUAGAGUAUCUAAUUGAGGUGCUUAUCAUAUUUAUUAUGUGGCUAGAUCAGAUUAGUUAUCCUUGUCACUAUUAUCAUUUCAUAUAUCUAUUAUGUGACACUUAUCCCUGUAUGAAGAGUUAGAUAUAAUGUUCUCAAUUAUACAUGCAAUGAUAGAUGCUCAAUCUCAUAUUCUAUUCUGUAAUCAAUAGUGAUGAUUGAUUAAUCCCUUCCCAGUGGUAAAAAUAUAAAUAACGAUACCUGGAAUACUUCCCGGUUAAAAUGCUACAUCGGUAUUAAUCUGUGCGCUUGCAGAUCCCAUUCAUUAUUUAUUUAGAAGAGCAAUUGCAUAUUUCAAUACCGCGUCUCUCAUGUCAUGCUGGGGAUGACAACUUGGCUUAAGUGGUGUGAGGGAUAGGUUUGGCAUUUUUGGCACCGUUGCUAGAUUUAGAACUUAGUCUACUUUUGGUAAUGAUGUUAAGAAUACCCAACAGUCUUCUUGAUCCUUGAAUUCUGUGGAGCUCAAAUAGACAACAAAGCUUUGUGGAACUGAUUAGGUGUUAGCAUAAAUAUCUAGCCUUUAUCAUGUUGAGCCUCCUCAAUAAAUGUUACUCUCUAUGGUAGGAUCACAAUUCUAUUUUUAUAUUUUCACUUUUAUAAAGUAGAAAAAUUAUUUAUUUUAUUUUUAUGCCACCACAGUGAAUGUACUUAUGGAUUUUAUGCCACUCGUAUACUCACAUGGGGCUUACUAUUUUUUUAACAUUUUUAUUUUCUCUUUUUUUAGGAUAGUAUGAACCAGAUUAACAAAGUAAACUAUUUUAAAUAAUUGGAAGGAAAAGAUAUCUACCAUGUUUACCUCUUGGCAAGGCGUUGGGUGUUUUUAAGUCCUCUGAACGGGACUCUCUGUUUUCUGAGUUGUCCUGGGGUUCGCUGGAUGGCGUAGUCGGUGGUUCCGGCAGCGCCUCCUCUUCGUGUAUAUCUAUCUUCUCUCUCCAAACCUGACUCGGUGCUACGGUCUCCUCAGGAUAGUUCUGUUCAAGCUGUAUGUCUUCAGACCUUACCACUUCUCCUUCGUAGUCUGCCCAUCCAUCCUUGAUGGUUUGCCUCUUCUGGUUGCGGUUGCGUCGUCUUCUUCUUGUCCUGAUCUGCUUAGAGUCUUCAACUAUAUAGUUAGGGUCAGUAAAAUAGCGGCGUACCUUCUCUAAGGGGAGGUGCAUGUGAACUUCUCCAGUUCCAAUGUAAAUGAUUGCUUUAACAGUGCUGAGGAACGGUCUCCCAAGGAUGAUCGGUGGAUCGUACUCGUCUUCUCCCAUGUCGAUAACCUGAAAGUCUGUAUGGACAAAAUGAUCGUCUAUUUUGACAGGGACAUCAGUUACUAUACCUUCAACCUUUUAGAAUGUCUGAUCUGCCAUCUGGAGCUGAAUGUAUGUCGGUUUUAGGGGCAUGGUUCCGAACAAGAGCCGAUAGGUGACUGCGGCCAUUAUGUUGACGCCUGAUCCGGUGUCGCAAAGUGUCUUGUAGAAGUUGUACCCAUUGAUGGAGCAAUGGAUGCUUGACAUACCUGGGUCGUCCUUCUUGGUCAGAAACGGUGACUUAAGUCGAUGAUCUUGACCUCCUUGAAUUGUAGUGACCAUCUUAACUGACUCGGUCCACACUUGCUUGUUCCUGUUCCUUCUGUUGGUCCUCUUCCUUGGUUCAUGUUGGGAUUGCUCUAGGAUUUGUGUAGUAUUGUUCUUAAAGGAAAAUGUUUCCUUCCUCCCUUUGAUGUAGAAAUUGAUCUUGGCAGCACUAGCGUAGACGACAACUCCUGAGGUGUUUAGGAAUGGCCUCCGUAAGAUGACGGGUGCCCUCUCAUCAUUUCCGGUCUUUAUCACCACGAAGUCUGCUGGGGCGUAUAAGGUACCAACUCAGACGUAGAGGUUCUUCAAUAUUCCCUUUGGGAAACUUAACGCCUGAUCUACAAACUGCAAACACAUGGUUGUUUCCAAUAAAGGAUAUGUAAAGAAUUUUUCAUAGAGUACCCUAGGCAUAAUGUUGACACUAGAGCCAAAGUCGCAGAGUGCUUCUGGGAAGUCCACCAUGCCG